CUCACUAGGCCGCGGCGGCGGCGGAAUACGCCCGGAUCUACGGCGGCGUUCUGCCGAAAAUGAGUAUCUGGCUCUGGGUUUGGUGAAGCUCCGGCAGGCUCUUCCGGAGGCAAUCUUCCGUUGAUCUUUGACCGCCGUGGCGCGGCGGCGGUAGUGGUGGUGAUAUUGGCGGACCGGCUCAAUCUCUUUCAUUUUUUCCUCUUCCUGAGGUAUGAAGCUUGAUUUUGGCGAGUGGGUGGAUGACGGCUGCGGACACGGCGGCGGAGGUCCAACCGGCGAACUGUUGUAUUACCAAUUUUAAAAUUAGAAAUAAAUAAAUUGUGAGUUUUUAUUUUAUUUUUUUAAAAUUUUGGUUUGGGGCACUGUUCUGUCGCUCUGUCUUGCAAUUAAUAUAAGCUCUUGGGAACGGUGGCUCUACAGUAUGUCAGUAUAAAAACCCUCUUUUUUAUAUA
This is a long non-coding RNA of Momordica charantia (bitter melon), 452 nucleotides long. RefSeq lists it as uncharacterized. Lineage: Eukaryota; Viridiplantae; Streptophyta; Magnoliopsida; Cucurbitales; Cucurbitaceae. The record is from RefSeq and is a predicted model, not a curated record.